AAAAAUCAACCACUUGGAUUAUUUCAUUAAAAUAUUGCAUGUUUAAAUAUAUAAGCAGGUAGAAAUUAAAAAUGGCCUGUGAGUCCUUUCAACUUGAACAUUUUAGCCUGUGCGGCAUAAAGUUUGGACACCCCUGAUCCAAGUUGAUUUUGUGCUGCAGUGCCAGCUGAAAUUCAUAUUAUAUUGAUAAAAACUCCUUCCAUAUGCAUACACCACACUGGUCGUGAUCGCCAAAGACGAGCCUUUCAGCAGCACCAUAUUUAGUUGUUGGCAUCUCUGGUAAAACCGCGUGUAAAUCCUUAAAUUGUGUGGUUGGUUGGUUUUUCCCUGUUUUGAAGAGCGGCUUACAGAAACGUGCCUCUGUGUCGCAGCCAGUUUAUACCCCAGAGAAUCAUAAAUUACUAAUUAAAAUGUUCCUGAUCAACUUAUAAAGUCUAAAUGACAAAACUGCUUCAGUUUACAGGAAUCCUUAGAAAUUUAAUAAAUGUGUCACCAAAAAAAAUAAAUACUUAUAUGUAUAUUUUUUUGUAAAAUGAAUGGUUUCAUUCUUUUUGAAGCUGUCCAAAAGUCAGAACUUUGGUGGGUUUAUUUUCAGGCUCUCUACGCAUCUACUUCAAUAAGCGUGUCAAUAGGUGUGAACGGGCAAGUAUCAGCUGGCGGUUAUGAAUCGUGUCAACCUCAGUGAAUUGUGCUCGAGAUCUCUGCCUGUAAUUGGCAUGUGGAUGGAUGAACUGUUGCAGCACCCUCAUUUUGCUUCUUUUUUUAUUUUUGCUCCUUUAUCUCUUCUGUAAUAUUUGCUUACGUUUAGUCUUCAUUGAUUUGUAGGUGUUCGUGUGUUGUUUUCUUUAUUUCGUUUAGGCCUUAGUUAUUGAGCAAACCUCUCACAGUAUUUUAGCACAGCAUUAAUUUACUCAGUACCACCAGUGAUAUCAUAAGCUCUUCACAAAUGUGGUUUUUUUUUUUUUUAAUACAUGUGUGUUCAUUGACCCUUAUUCCAGAUGGCGAAACCUCAAACUCCUCAACUUAUAAGCUCUCCUUAAUGUAGGUGAGUGAGUAGCUGACGUGUCUAAUACAGCGAAAAACCUCACAAAUAACAAUGCAUUCCUUUGACUAUAACUUAUGUACAGCUAUUUUGUAUUAUUUUAUAUCAUGUCCUUCUGUAACUGUCCGGUGCACAGACAAUCGCUAUACACAUGUCAAUAAACCAGAUUAAAAAGAAAAC
Poecilia latipinna (sailfin molly) is the source of this 1222-nucleotide long non-coding RNA. RefSeq lists it as uncharacterized. NCBI's taxonomy places the organism in Eukaryota, Metazoa, Chordata, Actinopteri, Cyprinodontiformes, Poeciliidae. The record is from RefSeq and is a predicted model, not a curated record. The transcript has 2 exons.